GUGUCAGCCGCCGCGGUAAUACGAAGGGUGCAAGCGUUACUCGGAAUUACUGGGCGUAAAGCGUGAGUAGGUGGUUUCUUAAGUCUGCUGUGAAAGCCCCGGGCUCAACCUGGGAAUUGCAGUGGAUACUGGGGAGCUAGAGUGCGGUAGAGGGUAGUGGAAUUCCCGGUGUAGCGGUGAAAUGCGUAGAGAUCGGGAGGAACACCAGUGGCGAAGGCGGCUACCUGGACCAGCACUGACACUGAGUCACGAAAGCGUGGGGAGCAAACAGGAUUAGAUACCCUGGUAGUCC
This 292-nucleotide ribosomal RNA is filed under the name uncultured bacterium. Its description in RNAcentral is "partial 16S ribosomal RNA". It matches the Rfam family "Bacterial small subunit ribosomal RNA", at positions 505 to 796 of the family's 1533-position model. The record is from RNAcentral.